RNAcentral lists this ribosomal RNA (468 nucleotides) under uncultured bacterium. Its description in RNAcentral is "partial 16S ribosomal RNA". It matches the Rfam family "Bacterial small subunit ribosomal RNA", at positions 28 to 507 of the family's 1533-position model. The record is from RNAcentral.
GACGAACGCUGGCGGCGUGCUUAACACAUGCAAGUCGAACGGAAAGGCCCUGCUCUUGUGGGGUGCUCGAGUGGCGAACGGGUGAGUAACACGUGUGUAACCUGCCCUUGACUUUGGGAUAACUUCAGGAAACUGGGGCUCAUACCGGAUAGGAGAUCCUGAUGCACGGUGGGGGUAGGAAAGUUUCGGCGGUGGUGGCUGGACUCGCGGGUUAUCCGCUUCUUGGUGGGGUAGUGGCUUACCAAGCCUUUGACGGGUAGCCGGCCUUAGAGGGUGACCGGCCACAUUGGGCCUGAGAUACGGCCCAGACUCCUACGGGAGGCAGCAGUGGGGAAUAUUGCACAAUGGGCGGAAGCCUGAUGCAGCAACGCCGCGUGCGGGAUGACGGCCUUCGAGUUGUAAACCGCUUUCGCCUGUGACGAAGCGUGAGUGACGGUAAUGGGUAAAGAAGCACCGGCUAACUACGUG